CAGCAGCCACGGGAAUACGUAGGGUGCAAGCGUUAAUCGGAAUUACUGGGCGUAAAGCGUGCGCAGGCGGUUAUAUAAGUCAGAUGUGAAAUCCCCGGGCUCAACCUGGGAACUGCAUUUGAGACUGUAUGGCUAGAGUGUGUCAGAGGGGGGUAGAAUUCCACGCGUAGCAGUGAAAUGCGUAGAUAUGUGGAGGAAUACCGAUGGCGAAGGCAGCCCCCUGGGAUAACACUGACGCUCAUGCACGAAAGCGUGGGGAGCAAACAGGAUUAGAUACCCGCGUAGUCCCUGUCUCUUAUAC
This 301-nucleotide ribosomal RNA is filed under the name uncultured bacterium. RNAcentral's name for it is "partial 16S ribosomal RNA". It matches the Rfam family "Bacterial small subunit ribosomal RNA", at positions 509 to 807 of the family's 1533-position model. The record is from RNAcentral.